Molecule: ribosomal RNA, 257 nt
Filed under: uncultured bacterium
Lineage: Bacteria
Description: partial 16S ribosomal RNA
Rfam family: Bacterial small subunit ribosomal RNA
Source: RNAcentral
UACGUAGGGUGCGAGCGUUGUCCGGAAUUAUUGGGCGUAAAGAGCUUGUAGGCGGUUUGUCGCGUCUGCUGUGAAAAAUCCGGGGCUCAACCCCGGACUUGCAGUGGGUACGGGCAGACUAGAGUGUGGUAGGGGAGACUGGAAUUCCUGGUGUAGCGGUGAAAAUGCGCAGAUAUCAGGAGGAACACCGAUGGCGAAGGCGGGACUCUGGGCCGAUACUGACGCUGAGGAGCGAAAAGCGUGGGGGAGCAAACAGG